UGGAAAUGUAUUGCCAUAAGGUAUCACUGAGGUCAAGCUUAUAUUAGUUGUGUGUCUCUCUCUGUUCAGCAGCAAGCAACCCUAGAAGUCCUGCUCAGAAAGCCAGUUUAUUUGGUAAACUGAGAAGGUGAAGAAGAAAUCCUUCAUGCUUCUUCCUGUUUGCCAGAAAUUCCUGUUACUGCUGACUGCUCAAGUCAGGAUUUGAGGGUCAUUGCCAAAGUUUAGAAAAUUAACUUGAAACCAACUUGGAAGCCUUCUGCACAGACUCCACUUCUGCACGCCACGAGUCGGCUCCCUGCUCCCAGGCUCAUUCCUGCCUUCACCUCAUCUGCACAGAAGGCACCGCCCGAGGUUCAGCGCUGUAACCACUCUGAAAGGCACCUUUUCACCAGGUAAACGG
Long non-coding RNA from Passer domesticus (house sparrow), 400 nucleotides. RefSeq lists it as uncharacterized. The record is from RefSeq and is a predicted model, not a curated record. NCBI's taxonomy places the organism in Eukaryota, Metazoa, Chordata, Aves, Passeriformes, Passeridae. The transcript is spliced from 3 exons.